This 462-nucleotide ribosomal RNA is filed under the name Mycobacterium sp. MZ-11598. RNAcentral's name for it is "bacterial SSU rRNA". It matches the Rfam family "Bacterial small subunit ribosomal RNA", at positions 28 to 503 of the family's 1533-position model. Lineage: Bacteria; Bacillati; Actinomycetota; Actinomycetes; Mycobacteriales; Mycobacteriaceae. The record is from RNAcentral.
GACGAACGCUGGCGGCGUGCUUAACACAUGCAAGUCGAACGGAAAGGCCCCUUCGGGGGUGCUCGAGUGGCGAACGGGUGAGUAACACGUGGGUGAUCUGCCCUGCACUUUGGGAUAAGCCUGGGAAACUGGGUCUAAUACCGAAUACACCCUGCUGGUCGCAUGGCCUGGUGGGGGAAAGCUUUUGCGGUGUGGGAUGGGCCCGCGGCCUAUCAGCUUGUUGGUGGGGUGAUGGCCUACCAAGGCGACGACGGGUAGCCGGCCUGAGAGGGUGUCCGGCCACACUGGGACUGAGAUACGGCCCAGACUCCUACGGGAGGCAGCAGUGGGGAAUAUUGCACAAUGGGCGCAAGCCUGAUGCAGCGACGCCGCGUGAGGGAUGACGGCCUUCGGGUUGUAAACCUCUUUCAGCAGGGACGAAGCGCAAGUGACGGUACCUGCAGAAGAAGCACCGGCCAACUA